GACGAACGCUGGCGGCGUGCCUAAUACAUGCAAGUGGGACGCAAGGAAACACACUGUGCUUGCACACCGUGUUUUCUUGAGUCGCGAACGGGUGAGUAACGCGUAGGUAACCUGCCUAUUAGCGGGGGAUAACUAUUGGAAACGAUAGCUAAUACCGCAUAAUAUUAAUUAUUGCAUGAUAAUUGAUUGAAAGAUGCAAGCGCAUCACUAGUAGAUGGACCUGCGUUGUAUUAGCUAGUUGGUAAGGUAAGAGCUUACCAAGGCGACGAUACAUAGCCGACCUGAGAGGGUGAUCGGCCACACUGGGACUGAGACACGGCCCAGACUCCUACGGGAGGCAGCAGUAGGGAAUCUUCGGCAAUGGACGAAAGUCUGACCGAGCAACGCCGCGUGAGUGAAGAAGGUUUUCGGAUCGUAAAGCUCUGUUGUAAGUCAAGAACGUGUGUGAGAGUGGAAAGUUCACACGGUGACGGUAGCUUACCAGAAAGGGACGGCUAACUACGUG
RNAcentral lists this ribosomal RNA (505 nucleotides) under uncultured bacterium. RNAcentral's name for it is "partial 16S ribosomal RNA". It matches the Rfam family "Bacterial small subunit ribosomal RNA", at positions 28 to 507 of the family's 1533-position model. The record is from RNAcentral.